GUCCUACGGGGGGCUGCAGUGGGGAAUAUUGCACAAUGGGGGAAACCCUGAUGCAGCCAUGCCGCGUGUGUGAAGAAGGCCUUCGGGUUGUAAAGCACUUUCAGCGAGGAGGAAAGGUUGAUGCCUAAUACGCAUCAGCUGUGACGUUACUCGCAGAAGAAGCACCGGCUAACUCCGUGCCAGCAGCCGCGGUAAUACGGAGGGUGCAAGCGUUAAUCGGAAUUACUGGGCGUAAAGCGCACGCAGGCGGUUGGAUAAGUUAGAUGUGAAAGCCCCGGGCGCAACCUGGGAAUUGCAUUUAAAACUGUCCAGCUAGAGUCUUGUAGAGGGGGGUAGAAUUCCAGGUGUAGCGGUGAAAUGCGUAGAGAUCUGGAGGAAUACCGGUGGCGAAGGCGGCCCCCUGGACAAAGACUGACGCUCAGGUGCGAAAGCGUGGGGAGCAAACAGGAUUAGAUACCCGUGUAGUCC
This 468-nucleotide ribosomal RNA is filed under the name uncultured bacterium. Its description in RNAcentral is "bacterial SSU rRNA". It matches the Rfam family "Bacterial small subunit ribosomal RNA", at positions 335 to 796 of the family's 1533-position model. The record is from RNAcentral.